UACGGGGGGGGCAAGCGUUGUUCGGAAUCACUGGGCGUAAAGCGCACGUAGGCGGCUUUCUAAGUCAGGGGUGAAAUCCUGGAGCUCAACUCCAGAACUGCCUUUGAUACUGGAGAGCUUGAGUCCGGAAGAGGUGAGUGGAACUCCGAGUGUAGAGGUGAAAUUCGUAGAUAUUCGGAAGAACACCAGUGGCGAAGGCGGCUCACUGGUCCGGUACUGACGCUGAGGUGCGAAAGCGUGGGGAGCAAACAGG
RNAcentral lists this ribosomal RNA (253 nucleotides) under uncultured bacterium. Its description in RNAcentral is "partial 16S ribosomal RNA". It matches the Rfam family "Bacterial small subunit ribosomal RNA", at positions 524 to 776 of the family's 1533-position model. The record is from RNAcentral.